Molecule: ribosomal RNA, 492 nt
Filed under: uncultured bacterium
Lineage: Bacteria
Description: partial 16S ribosomal RNA
Rfam family: Bacterial small subunit ribosomal RNA
Source: RNAcentral
AGUGAACGCUGGCGGUAUGCCUAACACAUGCAAGUCGAACGGCAGCACAGUGAGCGCGUGCUCUUACGGGUGGCGAGUGGCGGACGAGUGAGGAAUACGUCGGAAUCUACUUUUUCGGGGGGGAUAACGGAGGGAGACUUACGAUAAUACCUCAUACGACCAAAGAGUGAAAUCAGGGUAGAUUGAUACCUUGGGCUAUUGAAUAGGUGGUUCUGCGAUUAGUUAGUUGGCGGGGUAAAGGCCAGCCAAGCCGACGUUCGGUAGCUGGUCUGCGUGGAUGAUCACCCACACUGGAACUGAACACCGCUCCAGAUUCCUCGGGGAGGCACCAGUGGGGAAUAUUGGACAAUGGGCGCAAUCCUGACCCAGCACUCCCGCGUGGGUGAAGAAGGCCUUCGGGUUGUAAAGUCCUUUUGUUGGGAAAGAAGAGCAGGAGGUUAAUAACCCGCUGUUCUGACGGUACCUAAAGAAUAAGCAACGGCUAACUUCGUG